Molecule: long non-coding RNA, 7633 nt
Organism: Cornus florida
Lineage: Eukaryota; Viridiplantae; Streptophyta; Magnoliopsida; Cornales; Cornaceae
Exons: 2
Source: RefSeq, a predicted model, not a curated record
UCAAUUUUUGAAAAUAAAAUCUGAAACUACUAUUUCAGAUUUUAGUAGUUUCUGUUUCCUGUUUUCUAGCCUAAGUUUUGCUGAUUUGAUUUGCUGAUUUUGUGGGCUUCCUGAUUUGGUGGCCUUCCUCUACUAUUUAUCUUGUAAUCGUCUCUCUUGAAAGAUAAGAAGACUGAAUAUUUUUUUUCUUAAAAAAACCUUCAAAUUCCUUUUAGACUUUCUUAUAGUCUUUGAUCUAUCAAACUUAUCAGACCUACGAAUUCGGUGCCUGUAUAAUAGUAUUGAUGUGUUUUUAUGUAGGAUCUCAAUGAAGGCCGGUAGUGUUCGGGAAAUGUCAUAGUGCAUUCGCGACCUUGUGUUAGGUAGCAUUUGAUUCGUCUUUGUUUGGGCUUAUUUACAUUUGAAAGUUGUGUAACAGUAAAUUUGGUAUUAUUUCACCAUCUUCCCUAUUUUUAUGGCUGUGUUUAUUCUUCCUUAAUCUAUAUUUUCUUUUCCACCAUUUAUUCUGAAAAUUCAUGGAUCUUUCUUACUUGGAAUAUUAGGAGAGGAUUACUAUUCCUUUACAGUUCAUUAUAAAUGGGUUAUUCUAUUUGUAUAGAUAUAGUGGAGGAGCAUAUUAAAUCCUUGUUUGUCAAUUAGUUCUCAGUUGUUGUCUUCAGCGGGGGGCAGAGUAGUUUGGUAGCUCGCAAGGCUCCUAACCUUGACGUCAUUGGUUCAAAUUGUCUCUGCAGCAUUAUUUAUAUUCUUGUUUUUUUUAACAUGUUUGAAUAAGUUUUUUUUUUUGGCUUUUGCAGUCACUUGAAGAUGGACUUGGUGAAAGUUAAAGAGCCUUUUGCAUUGCUGGACUUAUUACUUCUUAUUGGAUUGUACAAUCUGUGAUUAGUUUAAAACGGAAGAGUAUCUAUUUAUCUGUUUUCGUUUUUCAUUCUUUGAUUUUGGUUGACCUCUCUCUUUGGUGUUUACCAAAACUUUUAAUUUUGCUUGUUUCUAGUUGAUUUUGAGAGCGGUCUUUUGGAAGAGCUAACAGAACCUUUACCUGGUUAGACUGCAGGAAAUGAUCGAUGUUUCUGUGAGUUUGUACCCAAAUCCCGAGUUGUAAUGUAUCAUAGUGCCUUGAGUUUAUGGACAUUUUUUUGAUGACAUGUAGACAAAAAAUUGAGAAGAUCAUGGUGGAAUAUUUAAACUCUCAAUCGCACAAUUAGGUAUCUGGUAAAUGGACUUUAGUAAAUACCUUAGUUUGACCUUCUAUCUUGCUUGGAAGUUAUGCGUUGAUCAAUCCAGCGAGCUUUGAUCGGAAUGGUCAACCGAUUGAAUUAGUUUUAGGUAAUAUUUAGUUCAAAGUCAGAAUGCAUCGAUUGCAUGGUCAAUAGAUUGAAUGCUUUUGAGACUUCCUGUAAGCUUUGAUUGAUCGCACUUGUCAGACCUACGUAUUUCAGUGCCUUUAUAUAAGUGUGGUGUUUUUAUGUAGGAUAUCAAUGAAGGCUAGUACUGUUCGGGAAAUAUCAUAGUGCAGUCCGAACGUUGUGGUAGGUAGCAUUCGAUUUGUCAUGGUUUGUGCGUAUUUACAUUUUGAAAUUUGUGUAACUGUAUAUUUGGUAUUAUUUCACCGUCUUCCCAAGUUUUACCACUGUGUUUAUUCUUCCUUCAUCUAUAUUUCUCUUUUCCACCAUUUCUGAAAAUUCAUGGAUAUUUCUUACUUGGAAUAUGAGGAGAGGAUUACUAUUCCUUUACAAUUCAUUAUAAAUGGGUUAUUCUAUUUCUACAGAUAUAGUGGAGGAGCAUAUUAAAUCCUUGUUUAUCUAUUAGUUCACAGUUCUUGUCUUCAGCGUGGGGCAGAGCAGUUUGGUAGCUCGCAAGACUCCUAGCCUUGACGUCAUGGGUUCAAAUCGUCUCCGUAUCAUUAUUUUUAUUCUUCUUUAAUUUUUUUUUUUUAACAUGUGUGAAUAAGUUGUUUUGCUGGUUGCUCGUUACUUUUUUGUUUGUUUGCAGUCACUUGAAGAUGGACAUGGUGAAAGUUAAAGAGCGUUUUGAAUGGCUAUUAUUUACGUUUUGAAAGUUGUGUAACAGUAAAUUUUGUAUUAUUUCAUCAACUUCCCAAUUUUUACCACUGUGUUUAUUCUUCCUUAAUCUAUAUUUCUCUUUUCCACUUUUUGUUCUGAAAAUUCAAGGAUCUUUCUUAAUUGGAAUAUUAGGCGAGGAUUACUAUUCCUUUACAAUUCAGUAUAAAUGGGUUAUUCUAUUUGUACAGAUAUAGUGGUGGAGCAUAUUAAAUCCUUGUUUGUCUAUUAGUUCUCAGUUAUUGUCUUCAGCGUGAGGCAGAGCAGUUUGGUAGUUCGCAAGUCUCCUAACCUUGAUGUCAUUGUUUCAAAUCCCGUCUCUGCAGCAUUAUUUUUAUUCUGGUUUUUUUUUUUUUUUAGCAUGUAAGAAUAAGUUUGUUUUGCUGGUUGCUCGUUACUGUUUUGCUUGUUUGCAGUCACUUGAAGAUGGAUUUGGUGAAAGUUGAAGUGCCUUUUGCAUGGCUGGACUUUUUACUUGUUAUUGGACUAUAAAUCCUGUGAUUAGUUGAAAUCAGAAGAGAGUAUCUAAUUCUAUGUUUUAUUUUUUUUUUCUUCGAUUUUGCUUGACCUCCCUCUUUGGUUCUUACAAACACUUGUCAUUUUGCUUGUUUGUAGUUAAUUUUGAAAGCGGUCUUUUUGGAAAGCUAAGAGAACCUUUACGUGGUUAGACUGCGGGAAAUGAUCGAUGUUUCUGUAAGCUGGUAUUAGGAUAUUGAGUCAUUGGCAUAUCUUACUCAAAACCUAAGUUUUUCCUUCAUCUAUAUUCUUUUCCACCAUUUGUUCUGAAAAUUCAUGGAUCUUUCUUACUUGGAAUAUUAUAAAUGGGUUAUUCUAUUUGUACGUGUAUAGUGGAGGAGCAUAUUAAAUCCUUAUUUGUCUGUUUGUUUUUCAGUUCCUGUCUUCAACGUGGGUUAGAGCAGUUUGGUAGAUCGCAAGGCUCCUGACCUUGAUGUCAUGGGUUCAAAUCCCGUCUCCACAGCAUUAUUUUUAAUCUUGGUUUUUAUUUAUUUUUUAACAUGUCAGCAAGUUUGUUUUGCUGGUUGCUCGUUACUUUUUUUGCUUGUUUGCAGUCACCUGAAGAUGGACUUGGUCAAAGUUAAAGAGCCUUUUGCGUGGCUGGGCUUAUUUACGUUUUGAAAGUUGUGUAAGAGUAAAUUUGGUAUUAUUUCACCAUCUUCCCAAUUUUUACCACUCUGUUUAUUCUUCCUUCAUCUAUAUUUCUCUUUUCCACCAUUUGUUCUGAAAAUUCAUGGAUCUUUCUUACUUGGAAUAUUAGGCAAGGAUUACCAUUCCUUUAAAAUUCAUUAUAAAUGGGUUAUUAUUUCAUUAUAAAUGGGUUAUUCUAUUUGUACAGAUAUAGUGGAGGAGCAUAUUAAAUCCUUGUUUGUCUAUUAGUUCUCAGUUCUUGUCUUCAGCGUUGGGCAGAGCAGUUUGGUAGCUCUCAAGGCUCCGAACCUUGAUGUCAUUGUUUCAAAUCCUGUCUUCGUAGCAUUAUUUUUAUUUUUUUUUAGCAUGUGCUCGUUAAUUUUUUGCUUGUUUGUAGUCCCUUGAAGAUUGAUUUGGUGAAAGUUAAAGUGCCUUUUGCGUGGCUGGACUUUUGACUUGUUAUUGGACUUUACAUCCUGUGAUUAGUUGAAAACAGACGAGAGUAUCCAAUUCUCUGUUUUAUUUUUUUGUUCUUGGAUUUUGCUUGACCUCUCUCUUUGUUGUUUUCAAACACUUGUUAUUUCGCUUCUUUGUAGUUGAUUUUGAGAGCGGUCUGUUUGAAAAGCUUAGAGAACCUUUACCUGGUUAGACUGCAGGAAAUGAUCGAUGUUUCUAUAAGUUUGUAUUAGUAUAUUGAGUCAUUGGCAUAUCUUACCCAAAACCUGAGUUCUUCCUUCAUCUAUGCUCUUUUCCACCAUUUGUUCUGAAAAUUCAUGGAUAUUUCUUACUUGGAAUAUUAGGAUAGGAUUACUAUUCCUUUACAAUUCAUGAUAAAUGGGUUAUUCUAUUUGUACAGAUAGUGGAGGAGCAUAUUAAAUCCUUAUUUGUCUAUUUGUUCUCAGUUCCUGUUUUCAGCAUGGGGCAGAGCAGUUUGGUAGAUCGCAAGGCUCCUGACCUUGACAUCAUGGGUUCAAAUCCCAUGUCCGCAGCAUUAUUUUUGUUCUUGGUUUUUUAGUUUAUUUUAUUUUUUUAACAUGUCAAUAAGUUUGUUUUGCUGGUUGCUUGUUACUUUUUUAUUAUUAUUUGCCAUCACUUGAAGAUGGACUUGGUGAAAGUUAAAGUGCCUUUUGCAUGGCUGGACUUUUUACUUGUUAUUGGACUGUACAUCCUGUCAUUAGUUAAAAACAGAAGAGAGUAUCUAAUUCUCUGUUUUCAUUUUUCGUUCUUGGAUUUUGCUUGACGUCUCUCUUUGUUGUUUACCAACACUUGUUAUUUUGCUUGUUUAUAGUUUAUUUUUAGAGCGGUCUUUUGGAAGAGCUAAGGGAACCUUUACCUCGUUAGACUGCAGGAAAUGAUCGAUGUUUCUACAUGCUGACAAAAAAUUGAGAAGAUCAUUGUGGAAUAUUUAAAUCCUCAAUCGCACAAUUAGGUAUCAGGUAAAUGGUCUUUAGUAAAUACCUUAGUUUGACUUUUGAUCUUGUUUAGUAAACACCUUAGUUUUACGUUGUGAAAGUUGUAACAUUAUAUUUGUUAUUAUUUCACCGAAUACGUAGGUCGAUAGAUUGAAUGCUUGUGCGACUUCCAGUAAGCUUCAAUCAAUCGUACCUGUCAAACCUACGUAUUCGGUGCCUUUAUAAUAGUAUUGUGGUGUUUUUUUGUAGGAUCUCAAUGAAGGCCAGUAGUGUUCGGGAAAAGUCAUAGUGCAGUCGGGACCUUCUUGUUGGCAGCAUUCGAUUCGUCUUGGUUUGUGCUUAUUUAUGUUUUGAAAGUUGUGUAACAGUAUAUUUUUUUUAUUGUUUUACCAUCUUCCCAAUUUUUACCGCUACGUUUAUUCUUCCUUCAUCUAUAAUUCUCUUUUUCACCAUUUGAUCUGAAAAUUCAUGGAUAUUUCUUACUUUGAAUUUUAGGUGAGGAUUACUAUUCCUUUACAACUUAUUAUAAGUUGGUUAUUCUAUUGUACAGAUAUAAUGGAGGAGCAUAUUAAAUCCUUGUUUGUCUGUUAGUUCUCAGUUCUUGUCUUCAAGUCUCUAACCUUGACGUCAUGGUUUCAAAUCCUGUCUCCGCAGUAUUAUUUUUAUUCUUGGUUUAUUUUUAUUUUUGUUUUUUAUAGCAUAUGUGAAGCUUACUGGAAGUCCCACAAGCAUUCAAUCUAUCGACCUACGUAUUCAGUGAAAUAAUAACAAAUUUAAUGUUACAACUCCAGUAAGUUUGUUUUGUUGGUUGCUCGUUACUAUUUUGCUUUUUUGACCUCUUGCUUUGGUCUUUACAAACACUUGUUAUUUCGCUUGUUUGUAGUUGAUUUUGAGAGCGAUCUUUUUGAAAAGCUAAGAGAACCUUUACCUGGUUAGACUGCAGGACAUGAUCGAUGUUUCUAUAAGUUUGUAUUAGGAUAUUGAAUCAUUGGCAUAUCUUAGCCAAAACCUGUGUUGUUGUUGUGUCAAAGUACCUUGAGUUGUUUAUGGACCUUUUUUUUGAAGAAAUGGCUGACAAAAAAUUGAGAAUACCAAGGUGGAAUAUUUGCAUCCUCAAUUGGACAAUUUGGUACAAGUAAAUGGACAAUACCUUAGUUUGACCUUUGAUCUUGUUUUGGUUCCUAAAUUGUUAUUGAUUCUAAGCUUUUAAGUUUUAGAUUUUUUUUCGAAAGCUUGUAAUUUAAUCAUUGAUCGAUCCAGAGAGCUUUGAUCGAAUGAUCAACCGAUUGAAUUGGUUUUUGGUAAUAUUUAGUUCAAAGUCAGAAUGCAUCGAUUGCAUGGUGCAUAGGUUGAAUUCCUUUUAGACUUGUUGUAGUCUUUGAUCAAUCGAACUUGUCAGACCUAUGUAUUCGGUGCCGGUAUAAUAGUAUUGGCGUGUUUUUAUGUAGGAUCUCAAUGAAGGCAAGUAGUGUUCGGGAAAUUUCAUAGUGCAGUCAGGACCUUGUGGUAGGCUGCAUUCUAUUCGUCUUGAUUUUUGCUUAUUUACGUUUUGAAAGUUUGUGUAACAGUAUAUUUGGUGUUAUUUCACCAUCUUCCCAAUUUUUACCUCUGUGUUUAUUCUUCCUUCAUUUAUAUUUCUUUUUUCAUUAAUCUAUCUUUCUUUAUAUAUAUAAGGUGAGGAUUACUACUCUUUUACAAUUCAUUUUCAAUGAUUAUUCUAUUUGUCCAGAUAUAGUGGUGGAGCAUAUUAAAUCCUUGUUUGUCUAUCUACUCAGUUCUUGUCAAACUAAGGUAUUUACUAAAGUCUAUUUACCUGUACCUAAUUGUGCGAUUGAGGAUGCACAAGUUUGGUAGCUCGCAAGUUUCCUAACCCUGACGUCAGGGAAUCAAAUCCCUUCUCCGCAGCAUUAUUUUUUUUCUUGGGGUUAUUUAUUUUUUUAUUUUAUUUAUUUAUUAUUAUUAUUUUUUUAGCAUGUGUGAAUAAGUAUGUUUUGCUGGUUGCUUGUUACUUUUUUGCUUGUUUGCCGUCACUUGAAGAUGGACAUGGUGAAAGUCAAAGAGCCUUUUGUGUGGCUAAACUUUUUACUUGUUAUUGGACCAUAUGUUCUGUGAUUAGUUAAAAACAGAAUAGAGUAUCUAAUUCUCUGUUUUUGUUUUUUUUGUUCUUGGAUUUUGCUUGACCUCUCUUUGGUGUUUACGAACUUUUGCUAUUUUGUAGUUGAUUUUCAGAGCGGACUUUUGGAAAGCUAAGAGAACCUUUACCUGGUUAGACUGCAGGAAAUUUUCUUUGUUUGUAUUAGGAUAUUGAGUCAUUGGCAUAUCUUACCCAAAACCUGAGUUGCUAUAUAUAUCAAAGUUCCUUGAGUUUUUUAUAGUCAUUUUUUUGAAGACAUGAUAGACAAAAAAUUGAGAAGAUCAUGGUCGAAUUUUUGCAUCCUCAAUCGCACAAUUAGGUACAGGUAAAUGGACUUCAGUAAAUACCUUAUUUUGACCUUUGAUCUUGGUUUGGCUCAUUAACUGUUUUUAUUCAAAACAUUAAGUUUUAGAUUAUUUUGAAAGGCUUGCAAAUUAUGCUUUGAUUGAUCCAGAAAGCUUUGAUAGGUACAGAUUGCUUUGAUAUAAUGAUCAUCCGAUUGAAUUGGUUUCAGGUAAAAUUUAGUACAAAGUCAGAAUGCAUCGAUUGCAUGGUCAAUAGAUUUGAAUGCCUCUGAGACUGCCAGUAAGCUUCUAUCAAUCGAUAUAUUGAAUGCCUGUCAAGACUUCCGCAGGCUUCGAUCAAUCAAACUAGUCAGACCUAUGGACUCGAUGCCUUUAUAAUAGUAGUGGCAUGUUUUUAUGUAGGAUCUUAAUGAAGGCCAGUAGGGCUCGGCAAAUGUCAUAGUGCAGUCGGGACCUUGUGGGUAGUCAGCAUUCAAUUUGUCUUGGUCUGUGCUUUUUUUUUAAAAAUCGUGUAACAGUACAGUAUAUUGGUAAAGUGCACUUAACACCCCUGUUAUAUACUUUGAGAACCAUUGUCAC